Molecule: long non-coding RNA, 1123 nt
Organism: Hipposideros armiger (great roundleaf bat)
Lineage: Eukaryota; Metazoa; Chordata; Mammalia; Chiroptera; Hipposideridae
Exons: 3
Source: RefSeq, a predicted model, not a curated record
GUCUGUCAAAGUGCCUUGAGGCAGGACAACGUUAUUAGAUAGAUGCCCUUCUGAGGCUGUCUGCUCCCUGGAUUCAGUUCAGAGGAAGAAAACACAAGGUCACCCCCAAACAACAAAAGAAGUAAAAGAGCUUCCAAGAGAACAUCAUAAGGGGUGCAGUCCUGGCUGCAGACUGGCCAUUGUGCUCAACAGUGGAGGCAUCUUCCGAGGAAUCAGCUUCAGAACCUGUGGCACGUCUGUUAAAUACCUUCAGUGCUGGCAACUGAUCUUUUGAAGGUGGACAUGAUGUUUGUAACUAUCCAGAAGUUAUUUGGAGUCCACAGAAAAAGCCAGAGAUCAGGAUUAUGAAAUGUGAGGAAAGAGACGGCUGUAUCUUUUACUUCUUUGUAUUCCCUUUCAUACCAAGAAUGUAACUUGGUGACUUGCACACAGUAAGUAUUAAAUGGGUAUGUUAAACUGACAAAGAGCCUUGUAUGUGGGGAAACUUUCUAUUUGUGUAGAAUUAAGAGGGGGAGUCGUGCCGUGCAGAUGAGCUGGGGUGCAAAGCUGAAGAAAAGGCACAAGGGUAGAAUAACAUGAGAAACACUUGGCCUACUUGAAAAAAAGGGUCUCAGGGGGCAGAGUUUAUCUGGUGUUAUCACGGGAGAUAUAAUUAGAAGGGGAUGUUUUAUGGGCAGAGUAGAUCUUUAUCUUCUAGGCCAGUGGUUUCUAAUUUUUUUAAUCAUUAGAGAUUUUUCUCUGCUCCCUCCCUAAAAAGGCUCCCUAAACAGAAACACAAUAUAUAGAACAGAUAAAUGUAAAAGGUCUCUGGCUAAAGUCAUGGGGGAGGGGGCCUGGGACUGGUUCCUUCAACGUGGUUCCUCAUACACACAUCCUAGGCACCACUUAGGUUCUUUCAAAGCAAUAUGAACCACGAGUGUAAACACUGGGGAGCCCUCAAGUAUUGUGUUCCUUUUGUAUCUCUAUAGAAGUGUAAUCCCCAGCUUCCUGAAAGUUCCAGAUCUGCUCCUCACAACUGCAAACCUCUCCCCUUUCCCCAGAGUGCUUUGGGACCACUGUCCUGGGGGUAUACCCUGCCUAACAGUCAUUCCUUUUUCUUCCUUGCUAAUGGAACCCAACUUGA